Molecule: non-coding RNA, 75 nt
Organism: Myotis davidii
Lineage: Eukaryota; Metazoa; Chordata; Mammalia; Chiroptera; Vespertilionidae
Source: Rfam
GGCCGUUCUCAGGUGGCACACCCCAGGAUCGGGCUCCCUCCUCUUUGGUUCCAGGUGUGUCACCUGAGAACCGUC